UCCCCGAUAGUCUAGUGGUGAGGAUAUCUGCUUGUCAUUCGAGAAGUCGUUGAUCGCAGGGGACCGGGGUUCAAUUCCCCGUCGAGGAG
RNAcentral lists this transfer RNA (89 nucleotides) under Colletotrichum chlorophyti. It matches the Rfam family "tRNA". Rfam says of the family: Transfer RNA (tRNA) molecules are approximately 80 nucleotides in length. Their secondary structure includes four short double-helical elements and three loops (D, anti-codon, and T loops). Further hydrogen bonds mediate the characteristic L-shaped molecular structure. tRNAs have two regions of fundamental functional importance: the anti-codon, which is responsible for specific mRNA codon recognition, and the 3' end, to which the tRNAs corresponding amino acid is attached (by aminoacyl-tRNA synthetases). tRNAs cope with the degeneracy of the genetic code in two manners: having more than one tRNA (with a specific anti-codon) for a particular amino acid; and 'wobble' base-pairing, i.e. permitting non-standard base-pairing at the 3rd anti-codon position. Lineage: Eukaryota; Fungi; Ascomycota; Sordariomycetes; Glomerellales; Glomerellaceae. The record is from Rfam by way of RNAcentral.